CGGGAGGGGCUUACAACAUCCCUCAGAGACAGGCAGGGUGUCAGGUUAUCACCUAACACUGCAGAACUAACCACCCAAAACACAUUUACUUUGCCUGGGAAUGUGCAGAGUGAGCAGGGCUCAGCAGGGCCAGCUUGUCUCUGCUCCACUGGGCAUCAGCUCGAAGGCCGAGUUCAGUCAUCAUGUAGGGCCACUCACGUGCCUGGUUCUGGCCUGGUAAGAGCCAACGGCUGGGGGCAGGAACAGCUGGGACUCCUCACACACACCUUUCUCCAUGGCAGCUGCUGGCAUGUAAAAAGCUACAAGCGGCCACUCCUAACAACAGGUAAAGAGCUGCAAACACUGAACACUCAACAAUCCUUCCUAGAUCCUUCAGAGGUGGGGUCACCGAGCAAACCAUGGCCCCCAGAACCAGAGAGACAGACAGGUGCCACCAUGGUGCUGGGUCAACAGGACAUCACAUGGAAGCAAAGGAGGAGUCCCCUUCCUGUUCCCCAUGUGGAUGGCCUCCUGGGGCCUGAAAGGAGAAAACCAGAACCCUCAAAGCAGCCACCGGUCUCCUCAUGCCCGGGAGCAGACUGGCCAGGGUCCCAGGGCAGCCACACCACAGAACAAGAGUCCUCUUGGCCUUGAUACAGCGAGGGGUAGUAUGGUGGGUCCCGGCCCUCCUUUCCUUCCAAUCACACGUGAGGGAGGAAUGUGAACAUUGCCAGCCCGCAGGGGAAAGAGGGGUUGAAAAGUCCUUUGGCUCUGCAAUAAAUAACCCCCACUCAUCCUUGCUGUCGAGAAGCCUGUGUGUAGUAGAAAACAGAGAGGCUUUAUACAUGGAAACUUGUGGUACAGUCCCUGGCACCGGCCACAUGACCUUCAGCAGGUCCCACUCUGGCCGUGUCUCCUGAUCUGUACUUAGGGCUGGAGUGAAGUGGAAUAUCCCACAUUUGCAGGAUGGAAAGGGAAGGGUCCCCUAAACAGACUCUCUGGGUGAUACUGACAGCGAGUUUCUUUGGUAUUCCUACGGGAAUCCUUUUAGGUGAGUAGCCUUGCCCAGAAGUUUUCUUUUCCUCUUUUAUUCAUUUGGAGAGGUGAUGGUGCUGAAGAAGGGGAACCUCCAGGGCAAGAAGAGUUUGGCUAAGGGGUAGGGAGAACGUGGCACCAGGGACGGAUUUCACCCCAUUUCGUCCCCUGGGCUAGUUUUUGAGGCUGUUACAGGGUUACAGAGGGUUACAGAAGGGUUACAGACAAAAACUGAAAGAGUUUUGUUUCUUUUUCUCUUCCUGAAAUAACGAGCUUUAUGACAGCUUGGACAUCAGCUGCUUCUUACCUUAAGGCCCAGGUGACAAAAUGUGGUGCAAAUUGGAAGGAGAGAGGACCUCGAUGUGUGGCCCAGCCCCGAGGUGGUGCCUCAAGUGUUCUCCCGCUUUGGGACACCUGAGCAGCGGAAGCGGAAGGAGCAAGUGACAAAGGUGCUAGAAGGCGGGUCAGAUGCCCACUGGGCCUGCCGGGAGAGAAAGCAGCAGUACCUAGCAGGUGCGACCCACGCUCGAGCACACCUCAGACACAGUGGGGGUGGGGUGACGCCGUGCUGCCCGGAAGUCCUGCCGUGGUGUGGAGCCGUGAAGUUCUCGUCUGUGCCAUAGGGUGGUGGGAGUGGAGUGUUCCCACGGGGAACACUGACAGAAGUUUUAAAAAGGGAUGUGCAGAGGCUCCUGCGUGGCUCAUUCGACCGACCAUCCGACUUGGGCUCAGGUCACGAUCUCACAGUUCAUGAGUCCAAGCCCCACAUGGGGCUCUGCUGUGACAGCGCUGUCUCCCUCACUGUGUCUGCCCCUCCCCACCUCCUCAAAAAAUAAACAUUUAAAAAAGAAGGAAAGAAAGGGAUAUGCAGAGAGCAAGUGAAGCUGUAAAAAGCAAGAGAGUAAAAUCUCACAUUCAGUUGGGAAACUGAUGUGGAACUAGGCCUUGAAUGACCAGGACGCCUGAGA
Acinonyx jubatus (cheetah) is the source of this 1982-nucleotide long non-coding RNA. RefSeq lists it as uncharacterized. NCBI's taxonomy places the organism in Eukaryota, Metazoa, Chordata, Mammalia, Carnivora, Felidae. The record is from RefSeq and is a predicted model, not a curated record. The transcript has 3 exons.